RNAcentral lists this ribosomal RNA (799 nucleotides) under bacterium. Its description in RNAcentral is "bacterial SSU rRNA". It matches the Rfam family "Bacterial small subunit ribosomal RNA", at positions 88 to 924 of the family's 1533-position model. The record is from RNAcentral.
CCGAUUAGUGGCGAACGGGUGAGUAACACGUGAGUAACCUGCCCUACACUCUGGGAUAAGCCCGGGAAACUGGGUCUAAUACCGGAUAUGCACCGUACGCCGCAUGGUUUUUGGUGGAAAGAUUUAUCGGUCUGGGAUGGACUCGCGGCCUAUCAGCUUGGUGGUGAGGUAAUGGCUCACCAAGGCGACGACUGGUAGCCGGCCUGAGAGGGUGACCGGCCACACUGGGACUGAGACACGGCCCAUACUCCUACGGGAGGCAGCAGUGGGGAAUAUUGCACAAUGGGCGAAAGCCUGAUGCAGCGACGCCGCGUGAGGGAUGACGGCCUUCCGGUUGUAAACCUCUUUCACUAGGGAAGAAGCGAAAGUGACGGUACCUGCAGAAGAAGCGCCGGCUAACUACGUGCCAGCAGCCGCGGUAAUACGUAGGGCGCAAGCGUUAUCCGGAAUUAUUGGGCGUAAAGAGCUCGUAGGCGGUUUGUCGCGUCUGCCGUGAAAGUCCGGGGCUCGCCCCGGAUCUGCGGUGGGUACGGGCAGACUACAGUGAUGUAGGGGAGACUGGAAUUCCUGGUGUACGGUGAAAUGCGCAAUAUCAGGAGGAACACCGAUGGCGAAGGCAGUCUCUGGUCAUUAAUGACGCUGAAGAAGAAAGCAUGAGGAGCGAACAGGAUUAAAUACCUGGUAGUCCAUGCCGUAACGUUGGGACUAGUGUGGGGACUUCCACGUUUCCGCGCGUACUACUCAUUAUUGCCCGCUGGGAUACGCCGCAGGCUAAACUCAAGGAUUGACGGGGCCCAAC